CGGCGGACGGGUGAGUAACACGUGGGUAACCUACCUAUAAGACUGGGACAACUUCGGGAAACCGGAGCUAAUACCGGAUAAGAUAUCGAACCGCAUGGUUCGAUAGUGAAAGAUGGUUUUGCUAUCACUUAUAGAUGGACCCGCGCCGUAUUAGCUAGUUGGUGAGGUAACGGCUCACCAAGGCAACGAUGCGUAGCCGACCUGAGAGGGUGAUCGGCCACACUGGAACUGAGACACGGUCCAGACUCCUACGGGAGGCAGCAGGG
Molecule: ribosomal RNA, 266 nt
Filed under: uncultured Staphylococcus sp.
Lineage: Bacteria; Bacillati; Bacillota; Bacilli; Caryophanales; Staphylococcaceae
Description: partial 16S ribosomal RNA
Rfam family: Bacterial small subunit ribosomal RNA
Source: RNAcentral